Molecule: ribosomal RNA, 391 nt
Filed under: uncultured bacterium
Lineage: Bacteria
Description: bacterial SSU rRNA
Rfam family: Bacterial small subunit ribosomal RNA
Source: RNAcentral
AACGAACGCUGGCGGCGUGGAUAAGACAUGCAAGUCGAACGGGACAACAUCUGUAGCAAUACAGGUGUUGUUUAGUGGCGAACGGGUGCGUAACACGUGGGCAAUCUGCCGAGAAGUGGGGGAUAGCUCGCCGAAAGGCGAAUUAAUACCGCAUAUGAUCAGUGAAGACAUCUUCACGACAUCAAAGCCGGGGCAACCUGGCGCUUCUUGAUGAGCCCGCGGCCUAUCAGCUAGUUGGUGAGGUAACGGCUCACCAAGGCUAUGACGGGUAGCUGGUCUGAGAGGACGACCAGUCACACUGGAACUGAGACACGGUCCAGACACCUACGGGUGCAGCAGUCGAGUAAUUUUUCUCAAGUGGGGCAACCCUGAAGGAGCGACGCCGCGUGGA